RNAcentral lists this transfer RNA (88 nucleotides) under Chitinophagaceae bacterium. RNAcentral's name for it is "tRNA-Ser". It matches the Rfam family "tRNA". Rfam says of the family: Transfer RNA (tRNA) molecules are approximately 80 nucleotides in length. Their secondary structure includes four short double-helical elements and three loops (D, anti-codon, and T loops). Lineage: Bacteria; Pseudomonadati; Bacteroidota; Chitinophagia; Chitinophagales; Chitinophagaceae. The record is from RNAcentral.
GGAGGGAGUCCGGUUGGUCAUGGAAGCUGUCUUGAAAACAGACUGUCCCGCAAUGACGGGAUCAAGAGUUCGAAUCUCUUUCUCUCCG